This 301-nucleotide ribosomal RNA is filed under the name uncultured bacterium. RNAcentral describes it as "partial 16S ribosomal RNA". It matches the Rfam family "Bacterial small subunit ribosomal RNA", at positions 509 to 807 of the family's 1533-position model. The record is from RNAcentral.
CAGCAGCCGCGGUAAUACGUAGGGUGCAAGCGUUAAUCGGAAUUACUGGGCGUAAAGCGUGCGCAGGCGGUUAUAUAAGACAGAUGUGAAAUCCCCGGGCUCAACCUGGGAACUGCAUUUGUGACUGUAUAGCUAGAGUACGGCAGAGGGGGAUGGAAUUCCGCGUGUAGCAGUGAAAUGCGUAGAUAUGCGGAGGAACACCGAUGGCGAAGGCAGCCCCCUGGGCCAAUACUGACGCUCAUGCACGAAAGCGUGGGGAGCAAACAGGAUUAGAUACCCCAGUAGUCCCUGUCUCUUAUAC